UACGUAGGGUGCGAGCGUUGUCCGGAAUUAUUGGGCGUAAAGAGCUCGUAGGCGGUUUGUCGCGUCGACUGUGAAAACCCGAGGCUUAACCUCGGGCCUGCAGUCGAUACGGGCAGACUAGAGUUCGGUAGGGGAGACUGGAAUUCCUGGUGUAGCGGUGAAAUGCGCAGAUAUCAGGAGGAACACCGGUGGCGAAGGCGGGUCUCUGGGCCGAUACUGACGCUGAGGCGCGAAAGCUAGGGGAGCAAACGGG
Molecule: ribosomal RNA, 253 nt
Filed under: uncultured bacterium
Lineage: Bacteria
Description: partial 16S ribosomal RNA
Rfam family: Bacterial small subunit ribosomal RNA
Source: RNAcentral